AGCAGUAGCCGCGGUAAAACGAAGGGUGCAAGCGUUACUCGGAAUUACUGGGCGUAAAGCGUGCGUAGGUGGUGGUUUAAGUCCGUUGUGAAAGCCCUGGGCUCAACCUGGGAAUUGCAGUGGAUACUGGAUCACUAGAGUGUGGUAGAGGAUAGUGGAAUUUCCGGUGUAGCAGUGAAAUGCGUAGAGAUCGGAAGGAACAUCUGUGGCGAAGGCGACUAUCUGGGCCAACACUGACACUGAGGCACGAAAGCGUGGGGAGCAAACAGGAUUAGAUACCCGAGUAGUCCCUGUCUCUUAUAC
Molecule: ribosomal RNA, 303 nt
Filed under: uncultured bacterium
Lineage: Bacteria
Description: partial 16S ribosomal RNA
Rfam family: Bacterial small subunit ribosomal RNA
Source: RNAcentral